This 514-nucleotide ribosomal RNA is filed under the name uncultured bacterium. Its description in RNAcentral is "partial 16S ribosomal RNA". It matches the Rfam family "Bacterial small subunit ribosomal RNA", at positions 28 to 523 of the family's 1533-position model. The record is from RNAcentral.
GAUGAACGCUGGCGGCGUGCCUAAUACAUGCAAGUCGAGCGAAUGGAUUAAGAGCUUGCUCUUAUGAAGUUAGCGGCGGACGGGUGAGUAACACGUGAGUAACCUGCCCAUAAGACUGGGAUAACUCCGGGAAACCGGGGCUAAUACCGGAUAACAUUUUGAACCGCAUGUUCGAAAUUGAAAGGCGGCUUCGGCUGUCCCUUAUGGACGGACCCGCGUCGCAUUAGCUAGAUGGUGAGGUAACGGCUCACCAAGGCAACGAUGCGUAGCCGACCUGAGAGGGUGCACGGCCACACUGGGAAUGAGACACGGACCAAGCUCCUACGGAAGGCAGCAGUAGGGAAUCUUCCGCAAUGGACGAAAGUCGGACGGAGCAACGCCGCGUGGGUGAUGAAGGCUUUCGGGUCGUAAAACUCUGUUGUUAGGGAAGAACAAGUGCUAGUUGAAUAAGCUGGCACCUUGACGGUACCUAACCAGAAAGCCACGGCUAACUACGUUCCAGCCGCCGCAGUAA